AGUCAGGCAUGCAAAAUAAUCCUUAAAAUCACAGGGUGUAAAACCGAUAACUUAUCGUAGCAAUAGAACAGUUCAUCUUAAUACGGUUUCUUAAACAGUGAAGCCAGACAAAAUUCCGGUAAAAUUGGUAUAGCUUAUAAGGAAACAAAGCUGUGCGUUCGAAGGUACUAAGGUAGGCGACAUUGUCCUUCCUGUUGUUGAGCAUAUUGUAUUAUUGAGGUUCGUCCAUGAAUUUCACAAUAUUAUUAUAUAGGCUGAAAUGAACCGUUUAUGUUUAGGAAUUAAAGAUCGAUCCUGUGUGCAUCGACUGAAUUUGAUUUAAUAUCAUUUUGGUGUUGGUAGGUGUUAAAUAAUAAUUAUAGUAACUCAUCGUGAAUAACAUAUGCCUGCAAUUUGCAAAAUUUGCUUACACAACAAUUCCUAUACCUGCAGAUAAAAUACCAGCAAAUAUAUUCUCAUUAUCCCUGCAGCCUGUUUCAGUUGUAUUAGAAGUAUAGAUAUUUAUUUCAGGAUUAUAUGUAUAUCUCAUUCAUAUCUGGUUUUGUUCGCCUUGACUUGAUACAAUUACUGAAUCAGUUUGAUAUUUUCACCUCUUGUCAUGUGAUGUCGAUUAUAAUACAAUGGGCCUAGAAACUUAAUGAAACCAUCAAACAUCCAACGUUUAUUGAAUACUCUAUCCUUGUAUUAACUUAACAUCCAGUUGUAGCUGUUGGUAUAUUUCCAAGCUUGAUAUAUACCUGAAUGUAACAGAGUGAUGUAUCUGAAAGUAUCUGAUAUAUCUGUUUGGUCACAGGUAUUAUGUUGACAAGAUACAUCUGCGUGGCUUGCCCAGACUUCCUGAAUAUAUUAUGAAAUUAUUUCAAGUACAAGACAGCACACACCAUAGCAAAUCAUCAAUGUUCUCAUUCUGUAUCUACUCAAAACAUUAAUAUAUCCAAUUUUUCAGUCCCUAAUCCUCACGGAUGUACUGUAGGCAUAUGUAAUAUUAUCUCUUUAAAAUCUGGCAGUCGCUUGCAUCAUGAAUGAGCCUUGAAUAAACAUGUUACACUGCAUGGUAAUAUUCACUGGCAGUACGGUUGUUCAGUGUGUAUAUGUAUGUAUGUGAGUGUAUUGUAUAGCAGCUUAACAUCAAGAAUCGAAUCAGCAAUAAGUAAAACUCAGCACUAAAACCCCCAUAAACGCAAGCAAUUGAAAUCUGAAAAAUACAUUAGUAGCCUAAAGCCCUGAUCAAACCAGAACGGAAGCCAUUGCAAGUUUUAACUUGCACUUGCUUGUGCCUCGUUUGAUCAUUAACUUGCGUUAACUUGCGUUAUCUGUAAUAUUGAACAACUUAUAUUGAUAGACUUUAGAAAUUUUUUAGACUUUAGACUUUAUUGUAUAAUUAAGUGUAAGUAUUUAUGUUGUAUACAUGUAGCUUAAUUAGAGGGCUCUCAUGAAAAUCACUUUUGGUGUCUGAGACCACCUCGGUAGUCGGUAAAGAAUGUGCAAAUACAAAUACAAAUACAAAAUACAAAAAUUUGCGAUGACUUGCGAAUGAUUGGAACUCAGGGUUCAAACUUUAUCGCAAGCUUUUUUAAACUUGCGAGCAUGCACUUUGGAUACGUUUGAUCAAGAAGUGCAGGUUCAAGGAAGCUUUUUACCCCAGUUUCCAUGGAAAUCAAAGGAAU
This is a non-coding RNA of Paramuricea clavata, 1667 nucleotides long. Lineage: Eukaryota; Metazoa; Cnidaria; Anthozoa; Malacalcyonacea; Plexauridae. The record is from the annotation of a GenBank genome assembly.